GGAUGUUUGGGUUUCAAAGUUCAUCCUGUGUCUGCCUCUAAAAAACAUACAUUUGUCAACACGUCAACACAAGUGCAUGACAAUGUCAAGGUAGGUUUGUUAUCAGAUUACAACCAUGUAUGUAGCUACACUCAUUGUUAAACGGAGCUAAAGUAAGACGUUUUAUAUCUUUAAGUACCUACCAUGAUACCGCCACAGACCAGGCAUGCAGCUAUUCCUGUAAAUCCACCAUGGCUACUCCCACCUCCAGAGGUUGAUCUACUAGUGUUGGAGAGACUACGGAAAGAUAGGGAGGGUGUUAAUCCAUCUGGAUACUGUGUAUCAGGAUUUUGUGGCCAUUUACACAGAUGGUUUCAAAGAUCCAAGAACACGACAUACUGGGUCAGCAUUUGUAGUGCAGGAACGUAUUACAGAUCAUCUGGCUGUAUAUACGGCUGAGCUGAUGGCCAUACUGUUGGCCUUGCAGUGGGUGGCGGAAGUCAAGCCAGACAGAGUAGUUAUUUGCUGUGAUUGAUGUGAGGUGUUGAUGAGUCAGCAGUCCUUUAGCUCAUGUAGCAGACAAUACCUGCUUUAUGAGGUACUACAAACUCAUGGCACUAUUAGACAGAUGGGUAUACAUAUCAGAUUCACUUGGGUCCCAGUCCAUGUGGGGGUGUAGGGGAAUGAGGCAGUUGAUGUUGUGGCUAAACAAGCACUUAGUAGUUGGGAUGUUAUAGUUUCAAUGAGCAAGGCAGAAGCAAAAAGCCUGAUAUUGACAGUGAUGGUGCCACGAUGGCAGGAGCAGUGGAAUAGAGCUAUGAAGGACAGGGAUUUAUUUCAAGUACAGAGGAAAGUCUGGGACGGGAGGACAGCAUGAAGGGGCAGAAGAGAGAUGGCUAUUUUUACAAGGUUAAGUGUGGGACACAACCGGUUGAAUAAGACUUUAAAAGGGAUAGGAAAACACCCAACAGGAAAGUGUGAUUAUUGCCAGGAAACAGACCAUGGAGCAUGCAUUGCUACAGUAUGGCAGUAUCAGAAGGAAAAGGAGAGGAUGAGAGCUAGUAUGAGGGAGAAGGAGAUACAGGAAAUUAGUUUUAAAAGUAUAUUGAGUAGAACUUCAUUGGUUAUAGUCUCAAAUAUUUUAUAUAUUUUUUAAGAUGAACGGGGCUGGCAGGAUUUAGUUUCUCCCUGUCUCUGGACCACACUCCAGUACAGUCGGUGGCGGUAAUGCAUCAUGACGAUGAAUUGUGAACCGAAGAUAAAGCUUACCGAAGAAGAAGCCCAGGCACGCGCAAAAAGUGGCGCACCAAGUUCUCGCAUCGAUUUUUCUACAUAGUAUGCUGUCGCCACUCUCUUGCGGUAAUUGUUCUACACAUUUUUAAAAGAAACCAAAAGCUUUCAAAAUAUUACGUAUUUUAUCACUAACAGAUGAGAGGACAGCUUAAGUACUUUUCCCGGACAUUACCCCUUCACUACAGUCCGCAUUUCUGUGUCCAGAUUGUAACAAAACAAGUGCAUGGCAAUGUCAAGGAGGGCAUGUAGUUUGCCCUCCCGGUGAUGCGUUGGGCAGAUCGUACCACCCUCUGUUGGUGAGACCUCAUCUCAUUGGUCCAGGAGGUGGGCUUCAGCACUCCUCACCUCAUCUCAGCCAGUCACAUCGAGGUCCACAACUGCGAGCUCAAAAGAAAGCUGGCUACAAGUGAAGACAGACACAUCGGGGAGGCAACUGCGUGCAUCCUUAUCCAAUUCCGAGGCGCAUAUUGAAGAUUUUGGAAGAACUGUCCACAUUUACUUUUUGUCAGCCAACAAGAUGAGUAGGCCUAACGAAAAGCAAAAGCACUAGCCUAUGUCAAUCUACUGUCCCAAAUUAAUACAACCACAAGCAUUCAACAAACUGUUUUAAGCUGUGAGCCUGAUGCAACAGAUGAGAACGGUUAGCUUAAAAUGUUGAUAAACUAUUAGGCAAUUUCUUCACAUUAUAAGUUCAGCAAUGCGCACACAGCAGUAUUACCAGGAAAACACCAUUCUCAAAAGGGACCACAAAUGAGAUUAUGCAUGUAAUGCUUUUAUUAUAAAGGAGCAUUCUUAUCUUCCCCAAACAUGAAACUCACAUGCUGCGUAUGCAUGUCAGGCUCUACACCCUUUGUAAAUCGGAUUAAUUUUAAGAAGUUAUUUUGCCACUUUAGUUGUGAUACAAACCUUCUAGACCUAUGGGCUAGGCUACAUGAGGUGUGAUACAAACCUUAUCAAAACAUAUAGACCUAUGGGCUAGGCUACAUGAGGUGUGUGACUGAUUAGAAAAAGUUGCAAAAAAAAAGCAUGCACUGUUUGCCUUAAGCUGGCCAUCAUUCACAAGCCGUAAUAUAUCAUUCACAGGUGAUAGGCUAAUAUUGUCACCCAUCAGACUAUUUUUGAUUUAAACGUAACAUAUUCUAAAUAAUAUACAGUACCAGUCAAAAGUUUGGACACCUACUCAUUCCAGGGUUUGCCUUGAUUACAGCUUUGCACACUCUUGGCAUUCUCUCAACCAGCUUCAUGAGGUAGUCACCUGGAAUGCAUUUCAAUUAACAGGUGUGUCAUGUUAAGUUAAUUUGUGGAAUUUCUUUCCUUCUUAUUGCGUUUGAGCCAAUCAGUUGAGUUGUGACAAGGUAGGGGUGGUAUACAGAAGAUAACCCUAUUUGGUAAAAGACCAAGUCCAUAUUAUGGUAAGAACAGCUCAAAUAAGCAAAGAGAAACGACAGUCCAUCAUUACUUUAAGACAUGAAGGUCAGUCAAUACGGAAAAUUUCAAGAACUUUGAAAGUUUCUUCAAGUGCAGUCGGAAAACCAUCAAACACUAUGAUGAAACUGGCUCUCAUGAGGACCGCCUUAGGAAAGGAAGACCCAGAGUUACCUCUGUUGCAGAGAAUAAGUUCAUUAGAGUUACCAGCCUUAGAUAUUGCAGCCCAAAUAAAUGCUUCACAGAGUUCAAGUAACACACAUCUCAACGUCAACUGUUCAGAGGAAAAGGCGUGAAUCAGGCUUUCACGGUCGAAUUGCUGCAAAGAAGCCACUACUAAAGGACACCAAUAAUAAGAAGAGACUUGCUUGGGCCAAGAAACACAAGCAAUGGACAUUAGAAAUGUGAUAUUUUUGGUUACAACCACUGUGUCAUGUGAGAUGCAGAGUAGGUGAUCGGAUGAUCUCUCCAUGUGUGGUUCCCACUGUGAAUUAAGGAGGAGGUGUGACAGGUGAUUUAUUUAGAAUUCAAGGCACACUUAACCAGCAUGGCUACCAAAGCAUUCUGCAGCUAUAUGCAAUCCUAUCUGGUUUGCACUUAGUGCGACUAUCAUUUGUUUUUCAACAGGACAAUGACCCAACAUACCUCCAGGCUGUGUAAGGGCUAUUUGACCAAGAAGGAGAGUGAUGGAGUGCUGUAUCAGUUGAGAUAGUUUGGGAUGAGUUGGACCGCAGAGUGAAGGAAAAACAGCCAACAAGUGCUCAGCAUAUGUGGGAACUCCUUCAAGACGGUUGGAAAAGUAUUCCAGGUGAAGCUGGUUGAGAGAAUGCAUUGAGUGUGCAUGAUUCCAUAUGUGUUAUUUCAUAGUUGAUGUCUUCACCAUUAUUCUACAGUGUAGAACAUAGUAAAAAUAAAGAAAAAUCCUUGAAUGAGUAGGUGUGUCUAAACCUUUGACUGGUACUGCAUGUGUGAAAUUUGACCAUUAUCAUGCUCCUGUCUCAAAACAGGGGCAGAGAGAAUAAAAUACAUGACUGCACUUAAAUUGCGAAUGGAGGAUGUUUUUCCCAUGUUUCAUUUUGAUGCCAGCCAGGUAAGCAAAACUCCUGUUUCAAAGAUAAGCAAUGUGCUUAAAAUUUGGAAGGUUGAGAAAUAAAUAUAGUUGGCCUAGCCUAUCGAAAGCUGAUUGGAUCCUCAGUUUUCUCACGCAAUUGCAUAGCCUAAAUAAAUGUUGCGCAACAUGAGCUCAUGGGCUCUCAUGAAGUGUUUUGAUUAGAAUUUCGAUGACAUUUGCAGUGAUGUCAGAGUGAUUAGAGGGACAAUAGUGUGGAGUACCAGGCAGUUAGCACGUUUGGUAGGCUAGUAAUGACCAUCAGCAGCAUCAGAGCUUAGAGAAGCCUAAUUACCGUGACUAAACGGUCACAUGGAAUUGAACUGCAAUCAUGACUCAUGAACGCCGGUGUGGCAGUAAUGUGGUCACCUUUACAGCCCUAAUCCUAGGCAGUCACGUCCAUUUCCAAUGUGUUGCAGGUGAUAUUAGCUAUGCAUCUGGCACUUACCGGCUCUUCAAAUUGCCCAAAAAGCUUGAGAUGUCAAUCGCAAUAGUGACCUACAAGGGAAGUGUGUCUGACUACCCUUGUCAGCUGUAGUUUGACUCCUCCCACUGCUUCAAGAAAAACGCUGCAGGUCGACGGGGUUAUCUUCCAGUGCUCUCUCUUCUCCCCAGACUUCUGCAUCCAGAAGUAUGGCCACCUCAGCCCUUUCUUGCUGUGCUGCUCGGUGAAUCAAUGCUCCAAGACAGGCAAAGCCCCAGUAGCCUGUGGAGAGACCUAACUUAACGACACCACAUCCAUGAUGGAACCUCCUUAGAGAGCCGGGGUGUAUGGCCCAAUAAUCUUGCCUUCCUGCUGAAGUGUGCAUUCACUACUUCCCACAAAUCUAAAAGCAUUGGAUUGUUGUUUGCCUGGGAUAUUGGGAGUUUCCAUAUUUAUAGUGAUAAUUCCCAAGAAGCCGGUGUUUGUUGGAUAUGUUGGCAUGGUGUUGUUAGGCCCGAGACCAAAUCGAGGACUGGCAAACCAUGCCAAUAUAUCCAACAAACACCAGCUUCGAGGGCAUUAUCACUUGUACACGGGUUACCAACAUAUUCAAAUAAUGAUCGACAUUUUCAUUAAAAACGUUAUUUUUAUACA
Oncorhynchus tshawytscha (Chinook salmon) is the source of this 4883-nucleotide long non-coding RNA. Lineage: Eukaryota; Metazoa; Chordata; Actinopteri; Salmoniformes; Salmonidae. The record is from Ensembl.